Molecule: ribosomal RNA, 252 nt
Filed under: uncultured bacterium
Lineage: Bacteria
Description: partial 16S ribosomal RNA
Rfam family: Bacterial small subunit ribosomal RNA
Source: RNAcentral
UACGUAGGGUCCGAGCGUUGUCCGGAAUUAUUGGGCGUAAAGGGCUCGUAGGCGGUUCGUCACGUCGGGAGUGAAAACUCGGGGCUUAACCCCGAGCCUGCUUCCGAUACGGGCAGACUAGAGGUAGGCAGGGGAGAGCGGAACUCCUGGUGUAGCGGUGGAAUGCGCAGAUAUCAGGAAGAACACCGGUGGCGAAGGCGGCUCUCUGGGCCGAUACUGACGCUGAGGAGCGAAAGCGUGGGGAGCGAACAG